This 434-nucleotide ribosomal RNA is filed under the name uncultured Oscillospiraceae bacterium. Its description in RNAcentral is "bacterial SSU rRNA". It matches the Rfam family "Bacterial small subunit ribosomal RNA", at positions 341 to 792 of the family's 1533-position model. The record is from RNAcentral. Lineage: Bacteria; Bacillati; Bacillota; Clostridia; Eubacteriales; Oscillospiraceae.
ACGGAAGGCAACAGUGGGGAAUAUUGGACAAUGGGGGAAACCCUGAUCCAGCGACGCCGCGUGAGUGAAGAAGUAUUUCGGUAUGUAAAGCUCUAUCAGCAGGGAAGAUAAUGACGGUACCUGACUAAGAAGCCCCGGCUAACUACGGGCCAGCAGCCGCGGUAAUACGUAGGUGGCAAGCGUUAUCCGGAUUUACUGGGUGUAAAGGGCGCGUAGGCGGGGAAGCAAGUCAGAUGUGAAAUCCAUGGGCUCAACUCAUGAACUGCAUUUGAAACUGUUUUUCUUGAGUGUCGGAGAGGUAGAUGGAAUUCCUAGUGUAGCGGUGAAAUGCGUAGAUAUUAGGAAGAACACCAGUGGCGAAGGCGAUCUACUGGACGAUAACUGACGCUGAGGCGCGAAAGCGUGGGGAGCAAACAGGAUUAGAUACCCUGGUA